AAGACCCCAAUGCCAAGAAGAAUAAAGGGAGAGAGAGGGAUGGAGAUUUCAGACCCUGGGAGCAGAUGGGGAAGGGGUAGAGAUCCUAACCUGAGGAAGAGGAAGGGAAAGGAGGUGAAGUCAUCAGCCUCAGAGGGAAAGACAGGACACCUCUUCCCUCCCCCCAGAUCUGUAGAAAGGAGAGGAACAGCCAGCUCUACGGAGAGCUCUGUCAUUUCCCAGCCUCAGUUGGCAUUCCAGAGAAACAGACAAGGCCUGAUGUAUCCCCUCACACCCAGGACUCGUUCUCCCAGAUAUGAGACCGAUCCGAAGACCAUCUCUAUUCCCUGCUCCACAAGCCUAAAAACCACCAAGAGAGACACAGCCACCUAUCGGGUGAAGAACCCCCCCAGGUCCAGCAGGCCAGCUGGCUUCCCAGGGCCAGGAAACAGGAAACGAGAAUUCAUUCAGUGAGUCAGGAUGUAAAUAAGCCACAGCGGCUGCGCCAUUCCGGGCUGCACCUGUGAGCAUCCCUCGGCUGAAGCCCUGUCAGCGUUUCCAUGACAAACUCAUAUUUCUGGAUGCCUCUCCUCCAGCUUCAAGAGCAUGCCUUGUGCUGAGACCUGACACUGAAAAUGCGUUCAUCAUGCUUUUUUCCCCCUAAAAAGGAUUGCACACUCUAAAAAUCCAC
This is a non-coding RNA of Leptonychotes weddellii (Weddell seal), 670 nucleotides long. The record is from RefSeq and is a predicted model, not a curated record. Lineage: Eukaryota; Metazoa; Chordata; Mammalia; Carnivora; Phocidae.